This 325-nucleotide ribosomal RNA is filed under the name uncultured bacterium. Its description in RNAcentral is "bacterial SSU rRNA". It matches the Rfam family "Bacterial small subunit ribosomal RNA", at positions 477 to 793 of the family's 1533-position model. The record is from RNAcentral.
AGCGACAGAAGAAGCACCGGCUAACUACCGUGCCAGCAGCCGCGAUAAUACGGAGGGUGCGAGCGUUAAUCGGAAUUACUGGGCGUAAAGCGCAUGCAGGUGGUUUGUUAAGUUCAGAUGUGAAAGACCCGGGGCGUCAACCUCGGAAUAGCAUUUGAAACUGGCAGGCUAGAGUCUUGUAGAGGGGGGUAGGAAGUUUCAGGUGUAGCGGUGAAAUGCGUAGAGAUCUGAAGGAAUACCAGUGGCGAAGGCGCCCCCCUCGGACAAAGACUGACGCUCAGAUGCGAAAGCGUGGGGAGCAAACAGGAUUAGAUACCCCUGGUAG